Molecule: long non-coding RNA, 446 nt
Organism: Boleophthalmus pectinirostris (great blue-spotted mudskipper)
Lineage: Eukaryota; Metazoa; Chordata; Actinopteri; Gobiiformes; Gobiidae
Exons: 4
Source: RefSeq, a predicted model, not a curated record
AUGAGGAAGUAGCAAAAUAUGUGGUGGAUUGAUGUUAUAAAUACUUUGAUAGUUUCCGUUCUGUGUCUAUCUGUCACAGCCUUGUAUGGACUACGGUCUGUGUAGUGGUUGACUGGUGGCGCUCACUUCCACAAGGAACAAACACACAAGCCUGGUGGUACCAGAAAGACUCCUGGAGUGACCCAGCUCCUCUGUAACGCAGUGCACCACUGUCAAGCCACCUUCAAAGACAUGCCACAAUUAUCAGCACCAUCAGCAAUGGAAUCAAAAUGGCGGCAAGGUGACCACUGCGAUUGUCCUCAGCGCUCUGCAACACCAAAAGUUUACAGAUCAAUCCUGUAAAAUAAUACUGGCCGACCGCCAUCAAACACAGGGGUCCAGCGAACAGUGAUGGCCUCCUCCUUCACCUCCCGAGGCUCCAGUUUGGGGGGAUUUGGACGAGCUGA